GGAUUAGAUACCCUGGUAGUCCACGCCGUAAACGAUGAGAACUAGAUGUCGGGAGGAUCUGCCUUUCGGUGUCGCAGCUAACGCGUUAAGUUCUCCGCCUGGGGAGUACGCCGGCAACGGUAAAACUCAAAGGAAUUGACGGGGACCCGCACAAGCGGUGGAGCAUGUGGUUUAAUUCGAUGCAACGCGAAGAACCUUACCUGCCCUUGACAUCCUCGGAACUUGUCAGAGAUGACUUGGUGCCUUCGGGAACCGGGUGACAGGUGCUGCAUGGCUGUCGUCAGCUCGUGCCG
RNAcentral lists this ribosomal RNA (293 nucleotides) under uncultured bacterium. Its description in RNAcentral is "partial 16S ribosomal RNA". It matches the Rfam family "Bacterial small subunit ribosomal RNA", at positions 775 to 1067 of the family's 1533-position model. The record is from RNAcentral.